GAAGGUAUAGCUCAGUGGUGGAGUGUGUGCUUAGCAUGCACAAGGUCCUGGGUUCAAUCCCCUGUACCUCCA
Molecule: transfer RNA, 72 nt
Filed under: Camelus bactrianus (Bactrian camel)
Lineage: Eukaryota; Metazoa; Chordata; Mammalia; Artiodactyla; Camelidae
Also listed under: 2 other names
Rfam family: tRNA
About the family: Transfer RNA (tRNA) molecules are approximately 80 nucleotides in length. Their secondary structure includes four short double-helical elements and three loops (D, anti-codon, and T loops).
Source: Rfam by way of RNAcentral